Molecule: non-coding RNA, 2763 nt
Organism: Triticum urartu
Lineage: Eukaryota; Viridiplantae; Streptophyta; Magnoliopsida; Poales; Poaceae
Source: RefSeq, a predicted model, not a curated record
UGGAGGCUGCUUCGCCACAGGGGAUCCAACUUCUCGCUUCGCCACCCCAGUCUCCACCUGCCCCAAUCUUCAGGCCGUCGUCCCCAACCCACCAGGAGAUCGGGGUCGACUUCGUCGCCGGCGACGGCGCCCUCGCGUUCGGCUCCGGCAUCAGGGGCCUGAACAUGUUAGGGUCGUUCGAGCUGGUCCUCCUCCCGCUCCUCGCGCUGCUCUUCCCCUCCCCCGCCCCCGCCAGUGUCGCCUCGCUGUGCCCGCUCGCGGCGACCUCCAACGCCUCCUCCCACACCUACGCCCGCCCCGUAUCCCACCUUCUUCGACGAUGUCGUCGACAAGUAUGGCUGGGACACCGACGCCCAGGUCCAGGUCUAGCCACUCGACGCCGAGGGCGCGCUCGUCGGCGCCGUGCAACGCUACGAGUUCCACGCCCACGCGAGGGGCACCGCGGUCGCGCUGGCGCGGGCCAACCGACGGGGCCGUCGAUUGGGGUCGCUCCGACGCCCCCACGGUGGAGGAGGUGGUCGGGCCCGACGGGGUCGACUUCGUCGCCGGCGAUGACGCCCUGGCGUUCGGCUCCGGGGUCACGGACCUAAACAUGGUAGGGCCGUUGGAGCUGGUGGUCUCCAAUGGCGCUGGCGAGGGCCUCGCAGAGCUCGAGUUGCUGUCGAUUUGCAGGUAAAUUUGUAAGGAUAUGCAACAAAAUUGAACAUCAACACCUUCAGUGUGUGAGGUGCGCGUGGAUGACCGAUAUGUGUGAAGUGCGUGAGGAUAGCUAUAUUCACAUUCUUCCAAUUUCGAGAGAGGAAGAUAACUCAGUAGUACUGCCAAUUUUGGCACGCAAUGUUCGUUUUUCAGAUUCACCAUGAUUGGUAAUGUUGUUUAGUACUGAAAACUUUGUCAUGGUUCAAUAAAUAGGCAGUUAAUUUUGUUGUUAGAAAGGCAAAGCAGUGCUACAAUAGCAUGGUUGAUUUUGGUUGCUAGAAGGAAAAGCAGUGCGACAAAUUUUAGAACUAGGAUGUUGUUUUUCACAGUUCAGUCAAGUAUUGCUUAUUUGCAUUGUACAAUCACAAUUCUAAGCUUAGGCUUCUUUUAGUUGUGUAGCAUUGUAGAACUGGGUCCUUUUUCCUAGCAGAUCAACACAUUUGGUCGGAUUUAGCUUAUUUGAUAAUGAGCAAACAAUAAAUGGUGUGAAUAUAUGCGGAGUCGAUGGAAAACAUUGAAGCCAGUAGUUGUAUACCUAUUUCGAAAAUCAGAAUUGGUUAGUAACAUUCUACAUCAUGGUAUUACGGUUUACAGUACUAAGCUUGAUGCUUUGUAUGGUUCUUUAAUACUAAGAUUAAUAGUGACGUUGCUGCUUGAGUUACUUUGGAUUUAACCUUGUUAUGCCAAUGACAUAUAUAGGUUUCUCGGUUUGCUGCGCUGCUCUUCACAGUCGUGCAGCUGGCCAUCGCCGCUAGGGAUUUGUCGUCCAAGGCAGUCAAUCCUUUCCUGUAAACUUGCAGAUGGAAAUCAUCAUUUUCUCUCAUGUUACUUUAGGAAACUUUGCUCUGUCAUGUAGCACUCAGUUUUUUAAAAACAUACUAUAUAUGUAGCCCUCAUCAACGUUGUGCUGGGCCAUGAGUGGGCUUCCUCGAUUAGCAAAAAAGAGGUGUCGAUGUGGGGGAUAAGUUUACAGUCAAUUGAGUUUGCUUACGAUUGGGCUUGAAAAAAAGGGUUCGUUUGUUUAAUAUAGUCUGCCCUUGCUCCCUUUACAUAUAUACCCAUGAGUUUAUAUAUGUCCUCGAGUUACACGGAGUAUCAACAAGCCUCAUCGGGUAUCAACGGGCAGAGGCUGAGGACUGGAUAACGAAGGAAUGGAAAUGGUGGGCUAAUUAAAUGGAAUUUGUGAAAUGCAUGAUUUAAGAAGUUGGUUGCAUGGAAAUUAUAUAUGUAAGAAAUUAUGCUUGAUUACUGCUGAAUGGCUCUCUCGGCAACAUGGGCCAGCAGAUCUCAUCACCAUGCCGCAGCCAAGAUGGAGCUGGGAGGGAAUUACUGAAAGAAUGUCCCAAACACAAAAUUCUAGAUUCUCUACUGAAGGCAUAUAGGUACACACAGAUCUUAGUUGGAAGACCAUCCGCCAUCGUCUCCGCCGACUUUUUGCCGGAAGACCAUCAGUCGUCACCUAGACCUACUUCGCCGCAGCCCAUUCAUUCGUCACCUGCCAUAGAGCAUAGUGCUCCUUGCUAUACGGCGGACCUGGUGAAACUGUGCAAAUAAUUAACAAACCAAACCCCACCUGGAUAGUGCUACAGAUUUGCUUAGUGGGCAGGAAUAACUGGAGUACUAUUUCUUCUUUAAGGGCGUAUUUCGGAGGGGAGCAUACACAUUACCUUGAUUGAGUUGAGUUUCGUGUUCUGCAUUACUGUUAUAAGUUACCAGCAGCAAAGAAAGAGAGUCAUGUACUAAUAGCUGAUAAGGUAGUCUGCUCUUGCAGAUCAUCUGGUUAUUCAUUUUCCCAUACAAGUGUUACUAAACUCUACUAAGUUCUAUAAUGACACAAGAUUAACUUGUUACAGGACAAGUGUACCGAGUAAUAGCAGCAAAGAAAGAGAGUCAUGUACUAAUAUCUGAUAAGGUAGUCUGCUCUUGCAGAUCAUCUGGUUGAUCAUUUUCCCAUACAAGUGUUACUACACUCUACAUUUGCGUAGAGUAAUAACACAAGAUUAACUUGUUACAGGACAAGUGUACAGAGUAAUGAGUAUGGACAGAAAAUUUGUUUCUUCGUCA